This 577-nucleotide long non-coding RNA is filed under the name Lactuca sativa (garden lettuce). RNAcentral's name for it is "long non-coding RNA (LSAT_LNC007779)". The record is from RNAcentral. Lineage: Eukaryota; Viridiplantae; Streptophyta; Magnoliopsida; Asterales; Asteraceae.
AUUAUUCUCAUAAUAUAUUAAUAAUAUUUAUUCUCUCAUAAUAAAUCAUCCUAUCAAGUUGCUAUGGUGAAGGCAACCCAAAAGGACCAUGCACAAUCGGGUCAAAUACUUGCCUAAUAUAGUUGCAGCCUUAGACACUAUUCCAACUGUCUCCCACUUGGAUAAGUCUAGUAACUAUAUGCACAAGUACAAUUCGAUUUGCAAUCGUAGCUCUCAAAGACGCUGUCAAACUCUGAUCUAAUCAAUCUUGUCCUUUAGAUAAGGGAUCGUACAGUCCUCUGUUAGAUAUCAUGCUGACAAUUCUAUGGAAUGAUUAGUCAAGCAUUUAGGUUUCUCGAUCUCCGAUUUAUUCGACAUAGAACUUAAUCGAACACAUCAAUUCAGUUCUGACNNNNUGACAAUUCUAUGGAACAAUUUGUCUAGCAUUUGGUUUCUCGAUCUCUGAUUUAUUUGACAUAGAACUUAAUCGAGCACAUCAAUUCAGUUCUGACCGGGCCGGCACAUAAGACAAAUCAAAUCAUCGAUCAGCUGAGAUAUUGCUUUUACCUUCUUAGGAUAAAAGUAACAGAUAAACUUC